GGCCGCACAAGCGUGAGCAUGUGGUUAUCGAAGCAACGCGAAGACCUACCAAGUCUUGACAUCCGGUGACAAAGUAUGUAAUGUACUCUUCUUCGGACACCGGUGACAGGUGGUGCAUGGUUGUCGUCAGCUCGUGUCGUGAGAUGUUGGGUUAAGUCCCGCAACGAGCGCAACCCUUGUCCUUAGUAGCCAGCGGAUUAGCCGGGCACUCUAGGGAGACUGCCAGGGAUAACCUGGAGGAAGGCGGGGAUGACGUCAAAUCAGCACGGCCCUUACGUCCGGGGCGACACACGUGUUACAAUGGCGGGUACAGAGGGCUGCCACCCAGUGAUGGGGAGCUGAUCCCGAAAGCCCGCCCCAGUUCGGACUGGAGUCUGGAACCCGACUCCACGAAGCCGGAUUCGCUAGUAAUCGCGCAUCAGCCAUGGCGCGGUGAAUACGUUCCCGGGCCUUGUACACACCGCCCGUCAAGCCAUGGAAGCCGGAAGUACCUGAAGUCCGUAACCGCGAGGAGCGGCCUAGGGUAAGGCUGGUAACUGGGGCU
RNAcentral lists this ribosomal RNA (544 nucleotides) under uncultured rumen bacterium. RNAcentral describes it as "bacterial SSU rRNA". It matches the Rfam family "Bacterial small subunit ribosomal RNA", at positions 919 to 1482 of the family's 1533-position model. The record is from RNAcentral.